Molecule: ribosomal RNA, 371 nt
Filed under: uncultured organism
Description: bacterial SSU rRNA
Rfam family: Bacterial small subunit ribosomal RNA
Source: RNAcentral
CGUAGGUGGCAAGCGUUGUCCGGAAUUAUUGGGCGUAAAGCGCGCGCAGCGGUUCCUUAAGUCUGAUGUGAAAGCCCCCGGCUCAACCGGGGAAGGUCAUUGGAAACUGGGGAACUUGAGUGCAGAAGAGAAGAGCGGAAUUCCACGUGUAGCGGUGAAAUGCGUAGAGAUGUGGAGGAACACCAGUGGCGAAGGCGGCUCUUUGGUCUGUAACUGACGCUGAGGCGCGAAAGCGUGGGGAGCAAACAGGAUUAGAUACCCUGGUAGUCCACGCCGUAAACGAUGAGUGCUAAGUGUUAGAGGGUUUCCGCCCUUUAGUGCUGCAGCUAACGCAUUAAGCACUCCGCCUGGGGAGUACGGCCGCAAGGCUG